This 465-nucleotide ribosomal RNA is filed under the name uncultured bacterium. Its description in RNAcentral is "partial 16S ribosomal RNA". It matches the Rfam family "Bacterial small subunit ribosomal RNA", at positions 28 to 507 of the family's 1533-position model. The record is from RNAcentral.
GACGAACGCUGGCGGUGUGCUUAACACAUGCAAGUCGAACGGUAAGGCCCUUUCGGGGGUACACGAGUGGCGAACGGGUGAGUAACACGUGAGUAACCUGCCCUCAUCUCUGGGAUAACAGUCGGAAACGGUUGCUAAUACUGGAUAUGAGCCUGCAAGGCAUCUUGUGGGUUGGAAAGAUUUUUUGGUUGGGGAUGGACUCGCGGCCUAUCAGCUUGUUGGUGAGGUAGUGGCUCACCAAGGCUUCGACGGGUAGCCGGCCUGAGAGGGCGACCGGCCACAUUGGGACUGAGAUACGGCCCAAACUCCUACGGGAGGCAGCAGUGGGGAAUAUUGCACAAUGGACGGAAGUCUGAUGCAGCAACGCCGCGUGCGGGAUGACGGCCCUCGGGUUGUAAACCGCUUUCAAUUGUGACGAAGCUUUUUGUGACGGUAGCAGUAGAAGAAGCACCGGCUAACUACGUG